CACAGUCACUUCAGGUUUUUAUUUUGCAUUUCAUUUAUGAUCCAGUUUCACAUUCUCACAGGGUCAGCAAUUACAAUAGCCACCUCCAGACAUCACCCACAGUCCGAAGCAGCCAAACAUCCAAGCUGAGGUUAAAGGUAAAGCCCGGACAUGCUUGUAAAAUAAAACAAAAUUGCACAAUUCAUCCUUCAUCUCAUUCUUCUUAAACCAAUGCCUGACACAAAGGCCGAUUGCUAAGGAACGGAAACCCCUUUCUUCUUCAUGCUUCAAACUAAACAUUAAACUUAUCCGACAGGCUGAACAAGGUCUCUUCAAUAAUUAAUGGUAAACACAUGAAAAACCAUUUAUGAUCCAUAAAUAUUUUGUUACAUAGGGUACAAAAAUACUUUUCAGGUUUUGGUUGGUUUCAAAGUUCAGGAAGAAUGAAGAGCAGUGGCAGGGUGGGGUGCACUGAGGGAGGGAGGCACAGUGAAGGCUUCUUAGGCUUGUCAGCCCUCUGGAGAAGGAGACGAUGCAGGACUCUGGAGGCGCUGUGAUCUGCUGCUAGAUGAGGAUAGUCUACAAGUCUACGUGUGUGUGUGUGUGUGUGUGUGUGUGUGUGUGUGUGUGUGUGUGUGUGUGUGUGUGUGUGUGUCAGCGGGGCCUUCAGGUCAGAAGUGGCUGCAAGACUCAGGCCUCCUUGAAGUAGGGUGGGUGUAGGAGUCAGGAAUAGAGAGAAAGACUAGGCUUGACAAGCCUCCAGUGCCAAGACCUGUUGCUAUGGCAACAGUGUGGGAACAAACCGUACAAGUUUAAGUGUCACAAUUCAUAAACAUGCAAAAUUAAAUGUCCCUUUUCCUUGAUGGGGAACUACAGAAGUAAGUUUAAGCAGGAGGUCAGGCUGUGCUGGGUUCCCAAUGAGGCUGACAAGCUGGGCCUAGGUGUCCCAGUAGGAAGGCCUCCCGAUCCUCCUGGAAGGCCUUGGAGAACUGAAGAAGAAGGAAACAAGAGCCGUCCACUGAGUCAGGCUUCAGAUUCACAGUGUCUAGAGGGAAGCAGCAGUUCUGCACAGGCCUCACGUGGCAGUAGGGCAGAGCCCUGUUUUGGCCCCACACAACCCAGGACCAACUCCAGGGUGACAAGACCUGAAGGGAGGGGAAGAGAGGUGGCCAUGAGCACAGUGGGAUGGGAGCUGGCUAUGGAGGCUGAAAAAGUGGGUGCAAGGUAACAGGAGAAAGACAGAAAGGAG
RNAcentral lists this long non-coding RNA (1228 nucleotides) under Cricetulus griseus (Chinese hamster). RNAcentral's name for it is "lncRNA (ENSCGRG00015034299.1)". Lineage: Eukaryota; Metazoa; Chordata; Mammalia; Rodentia; Cricetidae. The record is from RNAcentral.